This 800-nucleotide ribosomal RNA is filed under the name uncultured bacterium. RNAcentral's name for it is "bacterial SSU rRNA". It matches the Rfam family "Bacterial small subunit ribosomal RNA", at positions 21 to 809 of the family's 1533-position model. The record is from RNAcentral.
GGCUCAGGAUGAACGCUAGCGACAGGCUUAACACAUGCAAGUCGAGGGGCAGCAUGAUUUGUAGCAAUACAGAUUGAUGGCGACCGGCGCACGGGUGAGUAACGCGUAUGCAACUUACCUAUCAGAGGGGGAUAGCCCGGCGAAAGUCGGAUUAAUACCCCAUAAAACAGGGGUCCCGCAUGGGAAUAUUUGUUAAAGAUUCAUCGCUGAUAGAUAGGCAUGCGUUCCAUUAGGCAGUUGGCGGGGUAACGGCCCACCAAACCGACGAUGGAUAGGGGUUCUGAGAGGAAGGUCCCCCACAUUGGUACUGAGACACGGACCAAACUCCUACGGGAGGCAGCAGUGAGGAAUAUUGGUCAAUGGCCGAGAGGCUGAACCAGCCAAGUCGCGUGAAGGAAGAAGGAUCUAUGGUUUGUAAACUUCUUUUAUAGGGGAAUAAAGUGGAGGACGUGUCCUUUUUUGUAUGUACCCUAUGAAUAAGCAUCGGCUAACUCCGUGCCAGCAGCCGCGGUAAUACGGAGGAUGCGAGCGUUAUCUGGAUUUAUUGGGUUUAAAGGGUGCGUAGGUGGUGAUUUAAGUCAGCGGUGAAAGUUUGUGGCUCAACCAUAAAAUUGCCGUUGAAACUGGGUUACUUGAGUGUGUUUGAGGUAGGCGGAAUGCGUGGUGUAGCGGUGAAAUGCAUAGAUAUCACGCAGAACUCCGAUUGCGAAGGCAGCUUACUAAACCAUAACUGACACUGAAGCACGAGAGCGUGGGGAUCAAACAGGAUUAGAUACCCUGGUAGUCCACGCAGUAAACGA